This 63-nucleotide transfer RNA is filed under the name Dipodomys ordii (Ord's kangaroo rat). It matches the Rfam family "tRNA". From Rfam's summary of the family: Transfer RNA (tRNA) molecules are approximately 80 nucleotides in length. The record is from Rfam by way of RNAcentral. Lineage: Eukaryota; Metazoa; Chordata; Mammalia; Rodentia; Heteromyidae.
GGGAAUGUGGCUUAGUGGUAGAGUGCUUGCCUAGCAUGCAUGAAACCCUGAUUUCCAUUCCUC